Molecule: ribosomal RNA, 467 nt
Filed under: uncultured bacterium
Lineage: Bacteria
Description: partial 16S ribosomal RNA
Rfam family: Bacterial small subunit ribosomal RNA
Source: RNAcentral
ACGAACGCUGGCGGCGUGCUUAACACAUGCAAGUCGCACGGAAAGGCCCUGCUUUUGUGGGGUGCUCGAGUGGCGAACGGGUGAGUAACACGUGAGUAACCUGCCCUUGACUUUGGGAUAACGUCAGGAAACUGGGGCUAAUACCGGAUAGGAGCUCCUGCUGCAGGGUGGGGGUUGGAAAGUUUCGGCGGUUGGGGAUGGACUCGCGGCUUAUCAGCUUGUUGGUGGGGUAGUGGCUUACCAAGGCUUUGACGGGUAGCCGGCCUGAGAGGGUGACCGGCCACAUUGGGACUGAGAUACGGCCCAGACUCCUACGGGAGGCAGCAGUGGGGAAUAUUGCACAAUGGGCGGAAGCCUGAUGCAGCAACGCCGCGUGCGGGAUGACGGCCUUCGGGUUGUAAACCGCUUUCGCCUGUGACGAAGCGUGAGUGACGGUAAUGGGUAAAGAAGCACCGGCUAACUACGUG